UACGUAGGGUGCGAGCGUUUAAUCGGAAUUACUGGGCGUAAAGCGUGCGCAGGCGGUUUUGUAAGUCAGAUGUGAAAUCCCCGGGCUCAACCUGGGAACUGCGUUUGAAACUACAAGGCUAGAGUGUAGCAGAGGGGGGUAGAAUUCCACGUGUAGCAGUGAAAUGCGUAGAGAUCGGGAGGAACACCAGUGGCGAAGGCGGCUACCUGGACCAGCACUGACACUGAGGCACGAAAGCGUGGGGAGCAAACAGGG
RNAcentral lists this ribosomal RNA (255 nucleotides) under uncultured bacterium. Its description in RNAcentral is "partial 16S ribosomal RNA". It matches the Rfam family "Bacterial small subunit ribosomal RNA", at positions 524 to 777 of the family's 1533-position model. The record is from RNAcentral.